GUGCUGGGUUGUCCCAGACAUGUUCCUGCAAUCUCUCUGUGGCAGAGGUUCAGAGAUUGUGGCUAUGUGCUGGCACCUCAGAAAAAGUGUGUGCGAUUGCUCAGAGGCAGUAGUUCAUGGGUUAUGGAAAAUCACAACACACAACUGGCACCAGGUGUCACCACACCCUGGUGUCUUUGUUCCAAUACCAGCAAACAUGGCUGCUCUCUGGGGUCCCCUGGGACCUUUGUUUGUGGGGUGGCCAAAUGGACUCUACCAAAUGCCCUCCUAGCAGGGGAAUUGCUUCUUCGCAUGUGACCUACAGACCCCUCAGACCUCGCUGCCUGCUCCUGUAGAUUCACCCUUCCUCCCCACCAGAGCACUGCCAGGGAAAGAUCCUUAUUUGAAGGGGAAAGGGGGAAUUCUGGGACAGAUUCAUUUGACUGAGGGCUGAGAAUCAGCUUAAAAGCCUGGCCUGAGGCAUACUUCUCCAGUUCUUUCACGGGGAUAUCAGAAGAAGCCAUGG
This is a long non-coding RNA of Herpailurus yagouaroundi (jaguarundi), 505 nucleotides long. RefSeq lists it as uncharacterized. Lineage: Eukaryota; Metazoa; Chordata; Mammalia; Carnivora; Felidae. The transcript has 2 exons. The record is from RefSeq and is a predicted model, not a curated record.